CAGGGUUGGGCUCUCGCCGUGAGUCGACGAAGGGAGCGCGGGCGCGCGCCCGCGUCCGCGCACUGAGAGUCGCCUCGGCCGCUCGCUUUCUCGACUCCCGCCUCGCGCCUCGAUCCUGUUCCGCCUCCCUCGGCCCUCCUGCCCGCCCCCACUCGUCGGCCCUCAGGUUCCUGGAAAGUGAAAAUUUCAUUUCUUUGUGGACAGGUACCUAAAAUGUCUCAUUAUUCAUCAAUUAAUGAAAAACAAAUGAAAAUUUGAGAGAGAUAUUCUGAAGAAUAAAAGGAUCAAGUUGGGUCAUUUCUAAAAUGUAAGAUUAUAAGGUUUAACUUGCUAAGACUUUUGAGGGGUUGAAUUAUUGGUAAAUUAUUAUAGAACCACUUAUCUGAGGCUUUUAAAAGUGAUGUGUUACAGAGAUUUAGGGAACUGCAAGAUUGCAGAUAAAGAAUUUAUACUGUCAACUGUUCUAUACUUUACCUUCUGCUUUAAAUGCGGCCUUAUAUUUUGAAGUCAAACAUUUAUUUUCUCUCACUGCGUUCUGAAUUUCCUACCACAGUGCAUUUUGAGAAAUGAAUAUAACAGCAGUCUUCAUAGAUGCCAUAUUCAUGGCAACUCUGUCCCCCGCCAACACCACACCCUGGAAAAAAACCAACUUUCUAUUGUUGGAAUGAGGUAACAUUUUCAGGAAAAGGGAACCAUUUUCUCACAGGAUAUAGAACAAAUUCAACCUUUUAUUAAAUCAAAAUGGAUUCUCUAAUGUUUAUACAUAUCAUAUAGGAUUUCAUCUCUUUCAAUCUUGGUUCAAAGGCCCAGACAGUACCAUUCCCUAGUAUUUAGUCCAUUUGCUCAUAAAGCAGAAGAGAAAAGCUACUUUGUUCCGAAGGGUGUUAGAUUUAGGAUUCCAAGGUUAUUUCAAAUUAAUGCCUGGAACUAGACUAUAAAAUGCAGGAAAGAUUCUAAGUUGUUCAAAGAUGAAAUAUCUUAACUUUCACCAAAAACUCUGUCUUCUGGGUAUUUUUUGUUUUUCUGCCUUUCCAGAUUUAUUUUAAAUACAACAUUUUUGCUGUUUACAUUUUUAAAAGUUACAUUUCAAAAUUGUUCAUAAUUGGACACUUUCAUAAAAUGUAGGCAAAUGCAGUUUUACUUUUUAAUGAAGGACAAGUCUGUUGAUAACAUUUUGAUUCUUAAAAUUUUUUUUAUCUUAUAAAAAUGAAACAAUGCAUUUAAAGUGUCUUCAGCUCUUAUGUUAAUACCAAAUUAUACAUUUUCUUAGCCCAUGUUCAGGAGAGACAAUAUAUCUUCCAAAUUAAGAGAAGCUGGCACCAUUUUUAAAACAAGGCCUUGAAUCUGCUGUGGUAUGUGCUGGUAGGAAUUUUGUAUGAAGCUGUUAUUGAAGUAGAUGACAUUAAGGUCAAAGGAAAAAAAAAACAGAAAAUAAUGUAAUCCUACAGAGCUGCUCUUAAGAUCUUGAGAGAAAAACCACGUAGGUAACAUCAAACACUAGUUGGAAUCUUUCCAAGAAGUAAUUAUCUGUGUGCUGUUUGUGGUGGUUGAUUAUGGGAACAAACCAAGGUUUAGCCAAUUCAGCAAACAUUUAUGGAGUGCCUGCAAUGUGCAUGUCACUGUUUUAAGGCCUGUGCCUACUGUAAAGGUGACCCACACAUGAUGCCUGCCUUGCAGGACUUGGAGUUCAGCGAUAAUAAGAGAUGCAUACCUGAAAAGCCUAUUUAAGACUCUUCCGGUUCUACAAAGAAGGCUUCUUGAAAGUGGUAGCUUUGAUUACUCUUUGGAUUUAUUUACAUUUAUCCUAUAAUCAGAAGGUAUACAAAACAGACUCACACAUAUAUAAAAUUAAUAGAUUAGAUAGCAUUUAAACAAAUAUUUCAGGUAGGUACUUCAAAUGCAUUUGACAUUUAUCAAAGAAAUGGUAAGUGCUGUCAUCCGUGGGUGGCUGGAUUAACAUGUGGGACUACUUAUCACCAAUUUUGUUAGGGAUCUUAGGGAAAUUCCUGGAUCUUAUAUUCACAAGCAAUUGUAUAAAUACUUCCCACAGCUCAGAGACCUAAUAGGAUGGGGUCUUAGAGAAACAUCUUUUGAGCCACAGACUUCUUUGUUACCAGAAGGAAAAUGAAAGAAGAAAUUUAAAUACCACUUGAAGAGAGGUAAAUAAAUGAGAAAUGGGGCUGAGAGGGCGGGUAUUUUUUUAAAAAUUCAUUAAAUGGAAAAAUCCACAAAUGUUAAUUCUGGUAGAUUUCUUAGAAAUUACAUCAGAGGAGCAUGCUUGGUCUUCCCACCCUCAUUAGGCCUCAGUGACAGGUACUUGAACAACUGAGCCCCUAAUGUGCAUGCUCCCCCACCCCUGAAGCCAGUCUCUGCCCUCCUCUUCCCUCCUCUUGCCCCUGGAAGCUGAUCGCCACCAACUGGCCUCUGGGUGGAUUUGGCCAAUGGAAGCACCUGUAGAGGGAAGAGAGUGAGGUUAGGAUAUUUCUUCCUGCUGUCUCCGUGCUUCCCUGCAGAGAGUGUGAAGAAAUGACCCUGAAAAGCCUCUGGCAGAGGAUUCUUCUUUCAGGAUGGUGUCGCCUCCUCAGCAGCCCAUCCUCCUCCCCUGGACUCAAGCUCUCAUUCCAGUAACACUCCUUCCUCCUUCUCCAUCUUCAGGGGGAGGUUUGCCAGUCGGUGGGUUCUAAGCAUAUCUCGCUGAUUCCCCCCAACCCUGCCGACACCUCUGUAGGUCGUCCCUUCAUUAAAAUCUCUCCAUUUGAACUAUCUGAGUUUAAUUCCAUUUCCUCCUGGUAUCUCAGUGAUACACGGUAUCAGUACAAAAAUCUCGCUUCACCUUCAGAACCAACAGAUUUGAGACAUUUUAUCCUCUGUGGAACCAUUAGUUAUUUUGUCAUUGGUUGUAUCAGAAAAAAAAAUCAGGAAUGCAAAUCCUUCUUUAUUACAGAUUCAGAUUUGCAUAUUACCAAUGUUAUAUAUUUUAAACAAAACUAUUCAUCAUAAGUUUUAAAAAUUAACUACUGGAGUAGUUAAUGAAUCUGAAUGUAAUUAUGUAGCUUUCAUAAUAUUAAAGUAAAAAUACUAAAAGAAGUAUUUCUUAAAGAAGCAAAUGCUCAAUCUCCAAGUAAAUUUUAUUCUAUGCUCUUCCGGUAUAAGAAUAUGUUAAUAUCUUGAAAAAUAUCAUAUUAUUUUGUGAACUCAUAAAGCUAUUUUGAGUUUUUGUAAAAUGAAAACCUUACCAAAAUGUAUUUUAUUGUUGGAAAGCUUGACCGUUACUGCUGUUUAAUUUUUUGAGCUUGUAAACUUUAUUUGUGCAUGUUUUCAACAAAGAAGGAUUUUAUUGUUAUUACAUAAAACAGGUGAUUUCUAGAUUUUAAAAUCACAAAUUGAAAGCAAGGCACAAUAAUAUAUAUUUCAAGAUAUAGGUACUUAGGAGGCAUCCUUUUAGUCAUCUGUUCAAUGUAGCCAUCUAUUUUACACCUACUGUCUACUAUUGUUUGAGGUCCUUGCCAAAGUAUUGCAGGCUAGUUAGGAAACAUAAAACAAUUAGAAAGUAAUCUAUGACAAGUAAGCUAUCUAUAAAUGGCAAUGAAGGGUAGAACAAAUUCAAUGAAAAUAUCUAUUUAAUCCUAGUGUUUACUGGUCUAGAAGAAUAGGCUGAGUAAAUUAGUAUUUCUCUGGCUGUUGUGGUAACACAUUGCAUGCUAUAACAGUUUUAAGUAAUUACAGGUGCAUUGAAAUUUAUCUAUGGCUUUGUCAUCAUAUUCUAAAAUGUCAUGAGUACUUUUUUCUGACCUCAAUUACUAUGAAAUUGGUUUCCAAUAUUUAAUUAACCAAGAAUAUCAAGUCUAUAGGGUAUUAUUAAGGUGAGACUUCUGUAGCCUUUUCAAUAAAGACCAGAAUUUUGGAGUGCCUUGAACCUUAAUCAUUGAUCUUUAAUUCUUAUUAAGUCAACUGCCCACCUUUUAAAGACUGAGGCCCAGGAAGAGUAAGUUUCUCUGAGACAAUGCAUACAGUACAGUGCUUCUUGGGUAUUGGCUCUAAGACCAGAUGCAAAGAAAGGCUAAAAUCCCAUUUCAUUGUUCAUUAGGUGAGAACCCUUUGUUAAGCUGUGUAACCUCUGUGCAUAGUUUCCUCAUCAGCAAAGUCAGAAAAAGUAUGUACCUGAAGGACUGAUUGUAAGGCUGGGAUGAGAGAAUCCAUGUGAUCAGCCCUCACCAACAGGUGCUGCCCAGUUCAUGAGUGCUGCUGCUGUCCUGCCCAAGUACCCAGCUUGCAGAGUGCCAGAGUUAGAGUCCCAGGGGUGUUCUCCACAGCUGCAUGCUUGAUCCAGGCCUAUCAGGUGAGUUGGCUCUUGGCUAGUGGUUUUUCUUCUCUUGCUGUACAAAAGUCCAGACAGUAAUGUCUUUUUUUCAUUUUUAUAGAUAUAUUCCAUUGAAAGUCCUCAUUCUCAAAUUUAAAACAAAGACUUUUUGUGUACCUCAAUAGCAAUGCACACACAGUUGGCUUCACAAACAUAUUGUACAUUUCUUUUUUUCAUAUUUAUUCAACAAAUGUAUAUUGACUACCCACCGUGUGACAGGUGUUAUUUGUUGACGGAACCAGGCAUCAUCAGCAAACAAAACUGACAAAGCUUCCUGCCCUCUGUGGAAGGCAUCUGAGGAAGAGACUGGAUUUUGUAGCAACAUGUUAUUCUCAUUAUAAACUUUAUCAUUGGAAUACUAAAGCCAAAUCAUCCCCCAUCUCCUUGAUCAGGAUACCCACUUAAUCUAGGCAGCUACACAAUUGUGAGAGCCUUUGUUUUUUUCUGCUGAAACAUCCUUAAAAAGAUACCUCACAACCCAAGAUUUGGCUUUUCUUAAAUACGAUUUUUAAUUUUUUUCAUUUCUAUCUAGAGAUUUAAUUGGAAAUGGAAAAUCAUCAAUUUUCCAAUUAAAUGUCUGUUCCAAUCAACAUUAUACCUUUUAGGUUGUCAUUGUCAUUUUUAAGUUUAAGCAACUUUAAGGAUUUUGAAUCUGGCUGCCUGUAAAUUAAAGGUGAAAGUAAUCAUUGUGUUGGAUUGGAACAUUUUGUCAAUUGAGAGUGGUUUCCUUGUUCUUAGUGUAUGAAAAGUUUAUUUUUCUAAUGUAGAUUAAUAAAG
Long non-coding RNA from Homo sapiens (human), 5137 nucleotides. Lineage: Eukaryota; Metazoa; Chordata; Mammalia; Primates; Hominidae. The record is from Ensembl.